CCUCUUCUUCUUCUUCUUGUUGUUCUUCUCCUUCUUCUUUUCCUUCUUCUUCUAAUUAUUUUCUUCUUUUACUUUUUUCUUUUUCAUUUUUUCCUUCUUCUUUUCCUCUUUUUUCUUCUAACCUAACUAACUAACCUAAUUAGCCUAAUAAUCUAACCUUAUAAACUAACUAAAUUAACCUAUAAUAAAAACUAAACUAAUAAACUAACUAAAGUAAUUAACUUAAUAAAAAGGAAAAA
Molecule: long non-coding RNA, 239 nt
Filed under: Hordeum vulgare
Lineage: Eukaryota; Viridiplantae; Streptophyta; Magnoliopsida; Poales; Poaceae
Description: long non-coding RNA (HVUL_LNC019268)
Source: RNAcentral